RNAcentral lists this ribosomal RNA (258 nucleotides) under uncultured bacterium. RNAcentral describes it as "partial 16S ribosomal RNA". It matches the Rfam family "Bacterial small subunit ribosomal RNA", at positions 524 to 776 of the family's 1533-position model. The record is from RNAcentral.
UACGUAGGGUGCGAGCGUUGCUCGGAAUCACUGGGCGUAAAGCGCACGUAGGCGGCUUUCUAAGUCAGGGGUGAAAUCCCGGAGCUCAACUCCGGAACUGCCUUUGAUACUGGAAAGCUUGAGUUCGGGAGAGGUGAGUGGAACUGCGAGUGUAGAGGUGAAAUUCGUAGAAUAUUCGCAAGAACACCAGUGGCGAAAGGCGGCCUCACUGGCCCGAUACUGACCGCUGAGGUGCGAAAGCGUGGGGAGCAAAACAGG